Tupaia belangeri chinensis (Chinese tree shrew) is the source of this 402-nucleotide long non-coding RNA. RefSeq lists it as uncharacterized. The transcript is spliced from 3 exons. The record is from RefSeq and is a predicted model, not a curated record. NCBI's taxonomy places the organism in Eukaryota, Metazoa, Chordata, Mammalia, Scandentia, Tupaiidae.
GAUGCAAACCCAGGACCUUCCUGUGCCAGUCCAAAAUCAGUGUUGGAAUACUGAUGCCCAGAGCUACAGGCCCGGCAAAAUGAGCCCAAAAUACGUGUCAUACAGUCAUCCUUCCCACCACUAAGAUGAUCAGUUCAUAUGGUCCAGACUGGGACCGGAUCAGCCAUCACCUAACCCUGGUCCAAGCUGACAUUUACAGAAGCGAGAAGACCAGCUCUUCUUAUGACACUCAUACCUGAGGACCUCCCUCAGAAAUGUCUUCUCUGAAUGAGGUUAGCCUGGAAGAGCCUUAUUCUGUACCCUCCUGUUCCUGGGCCCUGAAUGCGGAAGGUGGCCAAGCUACCCGAGACAUGAAAAAAUGACUCCCUUCCUGUCACAGUACUUUGUAGAUAUUUCUUUACU